AGGCGAACAGUGUGCAAUUCGAGUUGAUUAUUUGCAACUCAUUGCGAUUUUGUUCGGCUCA
This 61-nucleotide microRNA precursor is filed under the name Ascaris suum (pig roundworm). RNAcentral describes it as "Asu-Mir-5353_pre stem-loop". The record is from RNAcentral. Lineage: Eukaryota; Metazoa; Nematoda; Chromadorea; Rhabditida; Ascarididae.